GAUGAACGCUGGCGGCGUGCCUAAUACAUGCAAGUAGAACGCUGAAGCUUGGUGCUUGCACCGAGCAGAUGAGUUGCGAACGGGUGAGUAACGCGUAGGUAACCUGCCUCUUAGCGGGGGAUAACUAUUGGAAACGAUAGCUAAUACCGCAUAAAAGUCGAUAUCGCAUGAUAUUGAUUUGAAAGGUGCAAAUGCAUCACUAAGAGAUGGACCUGCGUUGUAUUAGCUAGUUGGUGAGGUAACGGCUCACCAAGGCGACGAUACAUAGCCGACCUGAGAGGGUGAUCGGCCACACUGGGACUGAGACACGGCCCAGACUCCUACGGGAGGCAGCAGUAGGGAAGCUUCGGCAAUGGGGGCAACCCUGACCGAGCAACGCCGCGUGAGUGAAGAAGGUUUUCGGAUCGUAAAGCUCUGUUGUAAGAGAAGAACGAGUGUGAGAGUGGAAAGUUCACACUGUGACGGUAACUUACCAGAAAGGGACGGCUAACUACGUG
This 497-nucleotide ribosomal RNA is filed under the name uncultured bacterium. Its description in RNAcentral is "partial 16S ribosomal RNA". It matches the Rfam family "Bacterial small subunit ribosomal RNA", at positions 28 to 507 of the family's 1533-position model. The record is from RNAcentral.